Molecule: ribosomal RNA, 394 nt
Filed under: uncultured bacterium
Lineage: Bacteria
Description: bacterial SSU rRNA
Rfam family: Bacterial small subunit ribosomal RNA
Source: RNAcentral
AUUGAACGCUGGCGGCAUGCUUUACACAUGCAAGUCGAGCGGCAGCGGGGGUGCUUGCACCUGCCGGCGAGUGGCGAACGGGUGAGUAAUACAUCGGAACGUAUCCUUAAGUGGGGAAUAACGCAUCGAAAGAUGUGCUAAUACCGCAUAGUCUUUUACAAGUAAAGCAGGGGAUCGAAAGACCUUGCGCUUGAGGAGCGGCCGAUGUCUGAUUAGCUAGUUGGUGGGGUAAAGGCCUACCAAGGCGACGAUCAGUAGUUGGUCUGAGAGGACGACCAACCACACUGGGACUGAGACACGGCCCAGACUCCUACGGGAGGCAGCAGUGGGGAAUUUUGGACAAUGGGCGAAAGCCUGAUCCAGCCAUGCCGCGUGAGUGAAGAAGGCCUCGGUU